This is a non-coding RNA of Saimiri boliviensis boliviensis (Bolivian squirrel monkey), 6146 nucleotides long. The record is from RefSeq and is a predicted model, not a curated record. NCBI's taxonomy places the organism in Eukaryota, Metazoa, Chordata, Mammalia, Primates, Cebidae.
AUGGGCACACCACUGGAUUUAAGUUUAAUCUGCCUGGUGCUCAACACAGUAGCUUGGCUGUGGGGCGUGCUGACUAAGCUAGUCUUGGGGUCCUGGAGAAGGGGGCUGGAGGGGUGCCCACAGCCACCCCACCGCCGCAUUAGUUUUGGGCUGGCAGGGACACAGGAGGCCCAGCUGACACUGGAAACAGUUAUCCAGACACUGGAUAGCAAAGUCUUGUGCCAAGAGAAGUGCUUGGUCACGUGGGACCUGGCCCAGGACAUUGAGCCGGUCAGCCUGCCUGCCCGCAUUAGGUAGAUCAUCACCCGCAACCUCUCCCGGCCUGAGAUCCCAGUCCCACUGCAGGCCACAGAGAUGACACCAUUGCUGUCUCUGCAGGAGGAGAACCAGCUGAUACAUCAGCAGGAGCUGUCCCACAUGGAGGACCUGCUGGCCCAAAGCAGAGCCAAACGAUGAGCCUUCCAUUAUGUACAAUGUGCUGGAGCCUGGGGAGCUGGAGACCCAGGAGCCCAGGGGACUGGUAGGGCAGAGCAUGGAGUUGUGGAGGCAGCUGCAGGAGGAGCAGGCCUCUUACAGGCACAAGCUGCAGGCCUACCAGGAGGGCCAACAGCGACAGGCCCAGCUUGUGCAGCGGCUGCAGGCCAAGAUUCUCCAGUACAAGAAGAGAUGCAAGGAGCUGGAGCAGCAGCUGCUGGAGAGGUCCAGAGAGCUGGAGCAGCAGCCGCUGAGGGGCACAGAGCACAGCCAAUACCUGGAGAGAGCCCUCAUCUGGCUGGAAGAGGAGCAGCAGAGGAGUGCUAGCCUAGCCCAGGUGAAUGCCGUGCUCUGACAGCAGCUGGAUCAGGCAGGCUCAGCCAACCAGGCUCUGUGAGGACAUAUGAAAGGUGACCAGUGAUUGGACACAUGCAGCCACAAGGAGCUGGAGCAGCGGGAGGCGGCAUGGAGGCUCAAGGAGGAGUCCUCCAAUGCUUACUUUUGCAACGAGCACAGUCGCGUGCUACUCCUCUGAAGCCAGUGGUGGGGAUCCGGUGGCUGGUCAGCAAGGUGAAGAUGUCCACUGAGAGAGACCUGCUGCAGCUAGAAAGGGGGCUGGCUGGGCUAUCAUGCCCUGUCCAGUAGGCGGGCCUGCUACUGAGCACCAACCUGCGGCCGGCGGAGAGCUGGCCCAAAGCCACCUUGGAGAAGCAGGCCCUGCUGCAGGCCCAGCUGGAGGAGCAGCUGAGGGACAGGGUGCUCUGCAAGAAGGAGUUAGACCAGCAGCAGAUACAAAGUGAUCUGGACAAGGACAACCUCAGUGCCAGAGUGACAGAGCUGGCCCUGGCAGUGGAGCCUCUUCAGAAGCAGAAUCUGGAGAAGGAUCAGGUUAACAAGGCCCUCACCAAGAAGCCUGAGGCCCUGGAAUCCCUGCGGCGACAGAAGCAGGUGGCCCUCGAGACAGAGGACGGAGAAGGGCUGCAGAAGACCCUGAGGGACCUGGCACAGACGGUCCUGUUAGACACUGAGAGCGGAGUCCGGCUGAGCGACUGCAAGCGCACAGCGGAUGCGUUGGAAGGCAGCCUGCAGAAGCUCUCCGGAUAGCAGAUCCCAUCCCCAUCGCAGCGCUCCUCGCUGGGCUGUGGCCAUUAGUCCCGCUGAGGCCCGUCUCUGGCCAGGUCAAAAUCCGCCUUGCUCGCCCUGAUCCAUUCCGCCCCGCACAAGGGCCAACUGCAGGUCCAGGACACGUGCAGGUGCUAUGAGACAAGCCAGGACCUGCUGGCCACCCUGGGGAAACAGCUUAGCGACAGUGAGGGUGAGUGGCGGGCCCUAGAGGAACAGCUGCACCACCUGUGGGACAAGACCAAUGGUGCCAUGCAGGCCCACGAGGACACCCAGUGCAAGGUACAGCGGCUGCGAAGCGCCAAUUAGCUCCUGAGCGGGGAGAAGAGCACCCUGGUCCACAGCCUGCAGGUGGCCCAGCAGCAGUCCGAGGAACUGCGGCAGGAGUGGGAGAAGCUGCAGGCUGCCCAGGAAGAGCUGUGGUGUUGGACCGGCUGGAGGAAGAGCAGGAGCGCACGAUGCAGUAUGCUACAAGGGUGCACCAGGAGCUUGAGCGCACUAUAAACAGCUAGAGCAGCUGGAAGAGAAGCGCUGAGGCCUGGCCAAGGAGCUGGUUGGGGUGAGGGAGGCGCUGAGCUGCGCCACUCUGCAGCGAGACACACUGCAGGCCGAGAAGGACGAGGUGGCUGAGGCGCUGACCAAGGCUGAGGCUGGCCGCCUGGAGCUCGAGCUCUCCAUGAUCAAGCUGGGGGCAGAGGAGGCCUCCCUGCAGGACUCCCUGUCCAAGCUGAGCGCCCUCAAUGAGAGCCUCACCCGGGACAAAUUGGAUCUGAACAGCCUUGUCACCCAGCUGGAGGAAGAAAAGGCAGCCCUGCAGGGCCGGCAGCGGCAGGCGGAGCAGGAGGCCACAGUGGCGCAGGAAGAGCAGGAGGCUGCUGAAGGAGCUGCGGUUGGAGCAGGAGGUGGAGGGACAGGUCCUGGAGGGCGCCCUACGAGUGUCGGAGCAGGUCCACGAAGCUCUGGAACAACAGUUCCCCACGCUGCGUCAUAAGCUUAGCCGGCUGCAGGAGCAGCUACCCCAGCUCUCCCGGCAGCUAAGCCUGCGGGAGCAGGAGCUGGAGCAAGCCCGGCGGUAGGCACAGCGGCAGGCGGAGGCGCUGGAGCGAGCGGCCUGGGAGAAGGAGAUGCUAGCCAAGGAGCUUACUGGCCCGGCCAUGAAACUGGCGGCCAUGGAGCAUGAAGGCAGGACCGUGUCAGAGAAGGCCACAGGACUGCGCUUGGAGAAAGAAGCCCUGGAGGGCAGCCUGUUUGAGGUGCAAAGGCACCUGGCUCAGCUUGAGGCCUGCCGGGAGCAGCUGGAAGCCGAUGGGCAGGCCCCGCUGCUGGCCAAGGGGACCCUGACUGUGGAGCUGGCGGGUCUGUGGCAGCAAAUAAUAGCUACACAGGAGAAAGUCAGUCUAGACAAGGAGCUGAUGGCCCAGAAGCUGGUGCAGGCUGAGCAGGAGGCCCAGGCUCCUCUGCGGGAGCAGCGGGCAGCCCACACGGAGGACUUGCAGCGUGAAAAGGAGGCAGCAUGGCGGGAGCUGGAGGCCCAGCGGGCCCAGCUGCAGAGUCACCUGCAGCGCCAACAGGAGGAGCUGUUGUCCUGGCUGGAGGCUGAGAAGGAAGAGGUGAGCGAGAAGAUCGCUGUCCCGCAGCAGGAGCAUGACGAGGGCCUCGACCUGACCUAGAGCAAGAAGCAGCAGGCCUUGUCUCUGAAGGAGUGAGAAGGCGGUGCUGUCAGAGAAGUUGAUGGAUACAGGACACAGUCUGGCCACCGUCCUCUGGAUAUGGAGUGGCAGAAACCAGAUGCCCAGAGCCGGCAGGAGUAGGACCAGAGCACCGUGAGAGCUCGGAUGUCUGAGAUGCUGGACGUACUGGCCCAUCUGAAGGAGGCUGCUGUGACCCACGCCCAGGAGGUGAGGAGGCUGCAAGAGCAGGUGAGACCUGGGCAAGCAGCCGGACUCCUGUCUUCGUGAGGCAGAAGAGCUUCAGACCCAGCUGUGCCUGCUGGAGGAUGCCCGUGAUGGGCUUCGGCAGGAGAUUCUGGAGGGCCACCACAAGCUGCGUGAGAACCAGGAGGGCCGCGAGGUACAGUGCCAGGAGUGGGGCAAGCUGUGGCGCAGCCUGGUUAGGGCACCAACAAGCGUGAGGCUCUGCGGUGCUCCAAUGAAUAGCUGAGAUUCGCAGUGAAGCAGGCAGAGAAAGAGCGCAUCAGCCUAAAGUUUGCCAAUGAGGACAAGGAGCAGAAGCUGGCACUCUGAGAGGAGGCACAAGCAGCACUGGGCAAGGAGGCCUGGGAGCUGCGGACUGGGCUGCAGGAGGUGCAGUGUUCACAGCUGGAGGCUCAGUGGGAGCUGCAGGAGCUCUGGCAUCAGAUGAAGAUGCUGGACAGUGAGAACACCAGGCUGUGCCGGGAGCAGGCGGAGCUGCAGAGCCGCCUGGUGCUGGGCCAGUGGGCAGAGAAGGAGAGCCGACAGGAGACCCUGGGCCUCCCGCAGAGGCUUCUGCAGGGCGAAGCCAGCCUGGAGGCGAUGCAGGAGAAGCUCCAGGUACUCCAGUGGAAGCUGCAGGAGCAAGAAGGUGAUUUCCGGUCCCGUGAGCCAGGCCUGCUGGGCUCCCUGGAGGAGGUGCGCGCACCACAGAAAAACAGCAGCUAGACCACACCUGCGGCCUGGAGCUGAAGGUGGAGUCGGCGCGGGCCCAGGCUGCAGAGCAGGGCCUGCGACUGAGCGUGGCUGAGGACUAGGCACAAGGCCUGGAGGCUGAGCUGGCCCACGUGGAGGUGCAGUGGCAUGCGGUAGAGGCCUAACUGGGUGGCCUGCGCUCGGCUGGCUCUGUGCUGGGGCCUCGGCCUUGAUCUCACGCCCAACCCAGCCCCGCGACCAAUGCCCGGCUCCCCAGCUUGGGACGCGCCCCGCCUGAGGAAGUGGGGAAGGGCUCAGCAGCUCCAGCACCUUAGAAUGCAGCCCUGGGUCCUGGCCACCAUCUGCAGGACCUACCACCUCCCGGAAUCCUCCACACCUGGUCCCAGAGGCAGUGCUCGGGGCCCUCCGAGAAUUCUUCCAGUAGCUGCGGAGUGCCCAGAGAGAACCGGACAAACUGCAGAUCCAGAACAGUAGUACCCUAAAUCGCCAGCUGGCCAAGAUGGAGGCCGAGAGGGACACCGCAACCUCGAGAGCCAGGCAGCUAGAGAAGGCAGUGGCUGAGAGUGAGGAAGCCCGGCGCAGUGUGGAUGGGCUGCUGAGCAGAGUCCAGGCGGAGUUGGUGCUGCAGGAGGAGUGUGCGGUGCAGUGAGCUGGAGCACCACGCCACGCUGGACCAGGUGGCCACACUGGAGAGAAGCCUGCAGCCACCAAGAGCGAGCUCCGGGCCAGCCAAGAAAAGAUUACCAAGACGAAGGCCAAGGAGACGAAGCUGGAGGGCGACAAGCUGUGCCUGAAGGAGGUGCUGGACGCCUCCGAGAGCCGCACCGUCAAGCUGGAGCUGCAGCGGCCCUAGCUUGAGGGGGAACUGCAGCGCAGCUGCCUGGUCUUGAGAAACCGCGAGGCCCGGGCCCACGCCCUCCAGGAUCGGGUGGCCUCCAUGCAGAGACAGGUAGCAGACAGCGAGGUGAGCGCAGGGACCCUGCAGCUGACAGCGGAGCGGCUGAACCGGGCCCUGGCACAGGUGGAGGAAAGCAAGGGGGCCUGGCAGGUCAAGGUGUUGGGCCUGACAGAGGCCCUGGCCCAGAGCAGCACCAGCCUCAACAGCACCCAGGACGAGAACCUGCAUCUACAGAAGGCUCUGACUGCCUGUGAACAUGAGCGCCCAAGUGCUCCAGAAAUGGCUGGACGCUGUCGGGCAGGCACUGUCGGAGGCACGGAAGCAGAGCAGCUCCCUGGGUGAGCAGGUGCAGACGUUUCCAGGCAAGGUGGCUGACCUGAAGCUGCAGCGGGCAGAGCCGGAGGGCCAGCUACAACACUUUCAGAAGGUGCUGUGGCAGUGGCAGGAGGGCAAGGCUGCAGCCCUGCACACAGUCCAGAAGCUGCAGGACAAGCAGAGGCUGCUGCAGGAACGCCUGGGCAGCCUGUAGUUCACCCUGGCUCAGCUGGAAGCCAAGAAGCAGGAGGUGGAACGCUCAGCCCUGCAGCUGAAGAAGGACCUCGUGGCCCUCAGGAGGACACUAGACAAGGUGGAGUGAGAGAAGCUUUGCAGCCAUGAGGACACAGUGCCCCUGAGCUCAGAGAAGGGCAGCCUGGACUGGACCCUCAUGGGGGCUGAGCUAAAGCUGGCCAAGGCCCAGAGGCAGAUCCAGCAGCUGGAGGCACAGGUGGUGGCGCUGGAGCAGAGCCACAGCCCAGCCCAGCUUGAGGUGGAAGCACAGCAGCAGCUGGAGCUGCAGCAGGAGGUGGAGGCUUGUGCAGUGCCCAGGCACAGGCUGAACACACCCUAGAGGCACAAGAGCUGGCCACCACCAGAGGGUACACGGGCUGGAGGAGCCGGUGUCCACACUGAAAGGACAGUUGCAGCAGGAGCUUCGAAGUUGCUCAGCAUCCUUCUCCUCACCCUUUGGCCCCCCAGAGAAAUGA